GAUGAACGCUGGCGGCGUGCUUAACACAUGCAAGUCGAACGAUGAAGCUCAGCUUGCUGGGUGGAUUAGUGGCGAACGGGUGAGUAACACGUGAGUAACCUGCCCUUAACUCUGGGAUAAGCCUGGGAAACUAGGUCUAAUACCGGAUAGGAGCGUCCACCGCAUGGUGGGUGUUUGAAAGAUUUAUCGGUUUUGGAUGGACUCGCGGCCUAUCAGCUUGUUGGUGAGGUAAUGGCUCACCAAGGCGACGACGGGUAGCCGGCCUGAGAGGGUGACCGGCCACACUGGGACUGAGACACGGCCCAGACUCCUACGGGAGGCAGCAGUGGGGAAUAUUGCACAAUGGGCGAAAGCCUGAUGCAGCGACGCCGCGUGAGGGAUGACGGCCUUCGGGUUGUAAACCUCUUUCAGUAGGGAAGAAGCGAAAGUGACGGUACCUGCAGAAGAAGCACCGGCUAACUACGUG
RNAcentral lists this ribosomal RNA (466 nucleotides) under uncultured bacterium. RNAcentral describes it as "partial 16S ribosomal RNA". It matches the Rfam family "Bacterial small subunit ribosomal RNA", at positions 28 to 507 of the family's 1533-position model. The record is from RNAcentral.